CUGUAUUUCUCUCUUGGGAAGCACAUUUUUGCAGAGAGGCUUUCUUCACCCUUUGAACACGAAUGCACUUUGAUCCAUGAGCCCUAAACUGUUUUGGGACAUCUGAAGCACGACUUCCUUGUGAAGCCCUGGGCCUGUAAUGCAGAGAACACACAGGAUGAACAUUUUACUCUACGUCCUAUGCAGUGCAAUUAAAGAUAGCGAGAGUGCAUGAUGGCAUUUUUUAGGCACUAUGUCUUUCCAUCUUACAAACUUCCAGUGAGUAAGGCCAAAAGAAGACAGAGAGAAUGGAGAUUUCUGUAAGAAAAUGGAGACAAGAAACAACUUCCUAGGGCAGAAGUACAGGGAGAAGCAAUGUAACCAACCCCAAUGGCUACGGUGUGUUUGGAUAUACGUGCCUUGAGGAAAGUUUAAUACAAAUCACUGUUCGUGCCUUAAUGUAAUUUGACUGUUGAAUAGCAUCUGCUGAGUGCAUAAACUCAGAACUUCAGAAGCAGAUACUACUAAACACUGAGAAGUUCCAGAUAUGGUGUCGAUUUCCUCCUCCAGUACUCCUAGAUUUACCUGAAUGUACUGUUAACAGAACUUUAGGCUCAAAUGGAAUAAUAAAUCUAAAGAUGCU
Molecule: long non-coding RNA, 622 nt
Filed under: Gallus gallus (chicken)
Lineage: Eukaryota; Metazoa; Chordata; Aves; Galliformes; Phasianidae
Description: long non-coding RNA NONGGAT008176
Source: RNAcentral